RNAcentral lists this ribosomal RNA (479 nucleotides) under uncultured bacterium. RNAcentral describes it as "bacterial SSU rRNA". It matches the Rfam family "Bacterial small subunit ribosomal RNA", at positions 326 to 793 of the family's 1533-position model. The record is from RNAcentral.
UAGCAGAGCACUCCUACGGGGAGGCAGCAGUGGGGAAGUAUUGCACAAUGGGGGAAACCCUGAUGCAGCCAUGCCGCGUGUGUGAAGAAGGCCUUCGGGUUGUAAAGCACUUUCAGUAGGGAGGAAGGUAGUGUAGUUAACACCUGCAUUAUUUGACGUUACCUACAGAAGAAGCACCGGCUAACUCCGUGCCAGCAGCCGCGGUAAUACGGAGGGUGCGAGCGUUAAUCGGAAUUACUGGGCGUAAAGCGCAUGCAGGCGGCCUGUUAAGUCAGAUGUGAAAGCCCGGGGCUUAACCUCGGAAUUGCAUUUGAAACUGGCAGGCUAGAGUCUUGUAGAGGGGGGGUAGGAAUUUCAGGUGUAGCGGUGAAAUGCGUAGAGAUCUGAAGGAAUACCAGUGGCGAAGGCGGCCCCCUGGACAAAGACUGACGCUCAGAUGCGAAAGCGUGGGGAGCAAACAGGAUUAGAUACCCUGGUAG